CCUACGGGUGGCAGCAGUGAGGAAUAUUGGUCAAUGGCCGGAAGGCUGAACCAGCCAAGCCGCGUGAGGGAGGAAGGCGCAGAGCGUCGCAGACCUCUUUUGCCGGGGGACAAAAGGCCGGACGGGUCCGGUUCUGAGGGUACCCGUAGAAAAAGCAUCGGCAAACACCGUGCCAGCAGCCGCGGUAAUACGGAGGAUGCGAGGGUUAUCCGGAUUUAUUGGGUGAAAAGGGUGCGAAGGCGGGCCUUUAAGCCGGCGGUGAAAUCCCGGGGCUCAACCCCGCAGAGCCGUCGGAACUGGGGGCCUUGAGUGCGGCGGAGGCAUGCGGAAUGCGCGGUGUAGCGGUGAAAUGCAUAGAUAUCGCGCAGAACCCCGAUUGCGAAGGCAGCGUGCCGUGCCGCCACUGACGCUGAGGCACGAAAGCGCGGGGAUCGAACAGGAUUAGAUACCCCAGUAGUC
Molecule: ribosomal RNA, 459 nt
Filed under: uncultured bacterium
Lineage: Bacteria
Description: partial 16S ribosomal RNA
Rfam family: Bacterial small subunit ribosomal RNA
Source: RNAcentral